UGGGGAAUAUUGCACAAUGGGCGCAAGCCUGAUGCAGCCAUGCCGCGUGUGUGAAGAAGGCCUUCGGGUUGUAAAGCACUUUCAGCGAGGAGGAAGGUGGUGAGCUUAAUACGCUCAUCAAUUGACGUUACUCGCAGAAGAAGCACCGGCUAACUCCGUGCCAGCAGCCGCGGUAAUACGGAGGGUGCAAGCGUUAAUCGGAAUUACUGGGCGUAAAGCGCACGCAGGCGGUUUGUUAAGUCAGAUGUGAAAUCCCCGGGCUCAACCUGGGAACUGCAUUUGAAACUGGCAAGCUAGAGUCUCGUAGAGGGGGGUAGAAUUCCAGGUGUAGCGGUGAAAUGCGUAGAGAUCUGGAGGAAUACCGGUGGCGAAGGCGGCCCCCUGGACGAAGACUGACGCUCAGGUGCGAAAAGGCGUGGGGCAGCAAACAGGAUUAGAUACCCCUGGUAGUCCACGCUGUAAACGAUGUCGAUUUUGGAGGUUGUGCCCUUGAGGCGUGGCUUCCGGAGCUAACGCGUUAAAUCGACCGCCU
RNAcentral lists this ribosomal RNA (532 nucleotides) under uncultured bacterium. RNAcentral describes it as "partial 16S ribosomal RNA". It matches the Rfam family "Bacterial small subunit ribosomal RNA", at positions 355 to 874 of the family's 1533-position model. The record is from RNAcentral.